GAUGAAGAACGUAGCGAAAUGCGAUACGUAAUGUGAAUUGCAGAAUUCAGUGAAUCAUCGAGUCUUUGAACGCACAUUGCGCCCCCUGGUAUUCCGGGGGGCAAGCCUGUCCGAGCGUCAUUGCUGCCCUCAAGCACGGCUUGUGUGUUGGGCCUCCGUCCUCCUCCCGGGGGACGGGCCCGAAAGGCAGCGGCGGCACCGCGUCCGGUCCUCGAGCGUAUGGGGCUUCGUCACCCGCUCUUGUAGGCCCGGCCGGCGCUUGCCGACACAUCAAUCUUUUUUCCAGGUUGACCUCGGAUCAGGUAGGGAUACCCGCUGAACUUAAGCAUAUCAAUAAGCGGAGGA
RNAcentral lists this unclassified non-coding RNA (345 nucleotides) under soil metagenome. Its description in RNAcentral is "partial contains 5.8S ribosomal RNA, internal transcribed spacer 2, and large subunit ribosomal RNA". The stretch from base 1 to 120 matches the Rfam family "5.8S ribosomal RNA", at positions 35 to 154 of the family's 154-position model. The record is from RNAcentral.